Molecule: long non-coding RNA, 395 nt
Filed under: Brassica napus (rape)
Lineage: Eukaryota; Viridiplantae; Streptophyta; Magnoliopsida; Brassicales; Brassicaceae
Description: long non-coding RNA (BNAP_LNC010864)
Source: RNAcentral
UUCAGCUAAACAUGAUCAAAUUUCGUUCUUUUACUACCAUAUAUUCUUUUUUUUUUCUGACUACCAUAUAUUCGUGGUUUCGGGUUUGUGUAAUAAAAGUAAUAAGUAUACUUCUUCUUUUUUGAACUUUUAUAUUGUUUAAUUUUGCUUCGAAAAAUUGGUAAGAUAGCAUUUUAAUAUAUUCGUAAUAACUUUUCGUCAUAUAAGUACAUAGACCAACUCUUAUAAAACACCAAAACACCAAAUAACUUGUGUUAUAAGCCAUGGGUAAUAAGUAUACUUUAAAAUGAUUAUCAGAGACAUGCUAAGACUGUUACAACUGCUACUGCUGUUUCACUAAUAUUUAUUAUUGUAAUGUAGGUCUAUCUAUCUGUUUAGAAAUAUCAGCAAACGAC